GGGUAACGGGGUGUUAGGGCACGACACCGGAGAGGGAGCCUGAGAAACGGCUACCACAUCCAAGGAUGGCAGCAGGCGCGCAAAUUACCCAAUCCCGACACGGGGAGGUAGUGACAAUAAAUAACAAUACGGGGUCCUUUCGGGUUUCGUAAUUGGAAUGAGUACAAUUUAAAUCUCUUAACGAGGAACAAUUGGAGGGCAAGUCUGGUGCCAGCAGCCGCGGUAAUUCCAGCUCCAAUAGCGUAUAUUAAAGUUGUUGCAGUUAAAAAGCUCGUAGUUGAAUUUCGGGAUUAGUGCGCCGGUCGUGCCUUCGGUAUGUACUGGUGUUACUGAUUCCUACCUUCUGACGAACCGUCAUGUCAUUAAUUUGGUGUGGCGGGGAAUCAGGACUGUUACUUUGAAAAAAUUAGAGUGUUUAAAGCAGGCUCGCGCUUGAAUACAUUAGCAUGGAAUAAUGAAAUAGGACGUUCGAUCCUAUUUUGUUGGUUUCUAGGAUUGACGUAAUGAUUAAUAGGGAUAGUUGGGGGCAUUAGUAUUCAAUUGUCAGAGGUGAAAUUCUUGGAUUUAUUGAAGACUAACUACUGCGAAAGCAUUUGCCAAGGAUGUUUUCAUUAAUCAAGAACGAAAGUUAGGGGAUCGAAGACGAUCAGAUACC
Molecule: ribosomal RNA, 655 nt
Filed under: uncultured Glomus
Lineage: Eukaryota; Fungi; Glomeromycota; Glomeromycetes; Glomerales; Glomeraceae
Description: SSU rRNA
Rfam family: Eukaryotic small subunit ribosomal RNA
Source: RNAcentral